RNAcentral lists this ribosomal RNA (1046 nucleotides) under uncultured crenarchaeote. RNAcentral's name for it is "bacterial SSU rRNA". It matches the Rfam family "Archaeal small subunit ribosomal RNA", at positions 1 to 1054 of the family's 1478-position model. The record is from RNAcentral. Lineage: Archaea; Thermoproteati; Thermoproteota.
UUCCGGUUGAUCCUGCCGGACCUGACUGCUAUCGGAUUGAUACUAAGCCAUGCGAGUCAUUGUAGCAAUACAAGGCAGACGGCUCAGUAACGCGUAGUCAACCUACCCUAUGGACGGGAAUAACCUCGGGAAACUGAGUAUAAUGCCCGAUAGAACACUAUACCUGGAAUGGUUUGUGUUCCAAGUGAUUUAUCGCCGUAGGAUGGGACUGCGGCCUAUCAGUUUGUUGGUGAGGUAAUGGCCCACCAAGACUAUUACAGGUACGGGCUCUGAGAGGAGUGGCCCGGAGAUGGGUACUGAGACACGGACCCAGGCCCUAUGGGGCGCAGCAGGCGAGAAAACUUUGCAAUGUGCGAAAGCACGACAAGGUUAAUCCGAGUGGUUUCUGCUAAAGGAACCUUUUGUUAGUCCUAGAAACACUAACGAAUAAGGGGUGGGCAAGUUCUGGUGUCAGCCGCCGCGGUAAAACCAGCACCUCAAGUGGUCAGGAUGAUUAUUGGGCCUAAAGCAUCCGUAGCCGGCUCUGUAAGUUUUCGGUUAAAUCUGUACGCUUAACGUACAGGCUGCCGGGAAUACUGCAGAGCUAGGGAGUGGGAGAGGUAGACGGUACUCGGGAGGAAGUGGUAAAAUGCUUUGAUCUCUCGAUGACCACCUGUGGCGAAGGCGGUCUACCAGAACACGUCCGACGGUGAGGGAUGAAAGCUGGGGGAGCAAACCGGAUUAGAUACCCGGGUAGUCCCAGCUGUAAACUAUGCAAACUCAGUGAUGCAUUGGCUUGUGGCCAAUGCAGUGUUGCAGGGAAGCCGUUAAGUUUGCCGCCUGGGAAGUACGUACGCAAGUAUGAAACUUAAAGGAAUUGGCGGGGGAGCACCACAAGGGGUGAAGCCUGCGGUUCAAUUGGAGUCAACGCCAGAAAUCUUACCCGGAGAGACAGCAGAAUGAAGGUCAAGCUGAAGACUUUACCAGACAAGCUGAGAGGUGGUGCAUGGCCGUCGCCAGCUCGUGCCGUGAGAUGUCCUGUUAAGUCAGGCAACGAGCGAGACCCA